CCUUCGAUAGCUCAGUUGGUAGAGCGGUGGACUGUAGCAAGAGUAGCUUUUGAGGAAAGGGAGCAAUAUGACUAAUGAAUUCACCUCAAAACAAUGACGGAUCAUGUUGCAAACUUGCUCAAAGGCAAAGAGUUAUCCAUAGGUCACUGGUUCAAAUCCGGUUCGAAGGA
RNAcentral lists this transfer RNA (170 nucleotides) under Anopheles sinensis. It matches the Rfam family "tRNA". From Rfam's summary of the family: Transfer RNA (tRNA) molecules are approximately 80 nucleotides in length. Their secondary structure includes four short double-helical elements and three loops (D, anti-codon, and T loops). The record is from Rfam by way of RNAcentral. Lineage: Eukaryota; Metazoa; Arthropoda; Insecta; Diptera; Culicidae.